Molecule: long non-coding RNA, 1906 nt
Organism: Musca domestica (house fly)
Lineage: Eukaryota; Metazoa; Arthropoda; Insecta; Diptera; Muscidae
Exons: 8
Source: RefSeq, a predicted model, not a curated record
UAAAAAGCGCUGCCAAUACCGAUAUCUUUAAUGAAACUACCUUCUAUAAUUAUGCCAUGGUUUUAACCUACAUUAUGGGGAUUUAUUUGGCAUAUAACAAUUUAAACCCACUUGGUUACGGAAUCCGGUACAAUGUAAACGUACUAUUAAAUUUUUUGGACUGGUGGUAAAUAUACAAAUUGUUUUAUAAUAAGUAAUGUUAAUUUAUAUAUCUUCUUUGCAAAUAUAAGAAAUAAAUUUACAUAAUUUUUAUCGUUGCGUUUUGUGAUUUUGUAAAUAUUCUUUUCGAUAGAGGGGGUGAUUUAUCCUCACUAGAAAACUUGAACAAUUCCAACAAGAUAAAUCGAUACAGUGCUUCAUAUUAUGAAGCUUUAAUGUGUAAAUGAUUACAGGUUAUUAGUCGAAAGUAGUCACAAUCGUAAAUGGCUACCGGUUAAUAAAAUCAAUUGACCUGCAUCAACAAUCAUUUUGAAUUCAAGCAGCAACGAUACAAUUCAAGCAUCAACGGCGUACCUUUCUAUUUUGUGCUAUUAGCAUUUUUUUUUUCUUUUUACAAGGACGAGAUUUAUCCUCACUAGAAAACCUGACAAAUUCUAACAAGAUUAGAAAGAUUACAUGUCUGGCACAUCCAUAAAAUUGGAUUUUUAACUUCGCAGACAAAUUAGCGGACCUUUGAAAAUUUUUCUUUGAAUUUAAUCAAGUCAAGCAUCAACUAUCGGCGUACCAUUGGUAUUUUGUUCUUUAUACAAGUAUGUUUUCAUUAGUGUCAUAUAAUUAUGGCGAGUUUUGUGUCGUAGACACAAAAAAAACCAAACCAUUUGACGGGGACGGAUAUAUUUUUAAAUACAAAGGCGGAUCCUAUCUGGGAACGAUAAUAGCAAAAAGCGACAACAAGGAAGAACUUUCUAAUUUAAAGAAUAUAAAAGAAGACGAAGCCAAAAGGCAAGAAACACAGCCAAAACAAAGAAUACUUAUUCAUCACAAGCGAUGGAAACUGUAAGGGAUUCUAUACAAAAUAUGUCAUCGUCCAUAAAUAAUGAAAUGUUACAAAGCCUAAAAACUUUUAGCUUGGUUGCUUACGACACUGAUGAUUAUUUUGUUAUUAACUCAAAAACUAUAACACAACUCCAAGGCAGUGAUUGUGUUGUGAAAUAUAGAGGUGGUUUUUAUUCUGCAAAACUAAUUGCAUCUUAUGAUGACAAAAAGAAACUUCUGGAAUUAAAGCGAAUGAAAAGAAGACAAAGUCACUCAAAACAUGUAGACCAAAAGCCUACAUAUGAAGUAAAUAAAUGUAUACCAAAUUCUACAACAAAUGUCCAGAAGAGUUCAGAACCAGAAAUUAUAAAUGACAAUUCAAUGGAACUACAAAAUAAAAACCAUCACGAAACAUCGGGAGAAGAUUCAAAUUAUUCAUCAUAUCAUCCCCUUUCGGACGGACAAUACGCAAGAGGUGGAGCAGUGCUGAAAUUGAUUCCGUUAAAGAAACAUUGGAGAUAUUUUGGCCUUGGAGAAGUUGCCUUCCAUAAAGCAAUGUGCAGCAGCUAUAGAAAAAAAUAUCUGCCUAUGUAAAAGAACACCGGCUCAAUUAAAAACAUGGAUAGACAACCAGCGAAAAAAGUUGCCGUUCGAGGAAAUUAAACAAUUUGAUUUCCCCACUUUCAACACACAGUCACCGCCACAACAUUCCACGGACCCAGUGUUUUCUUACUUUUUUUAGUGAUAUAAGCUUUCAUGCAUAUGAAAUACUCUUGCCCAUGUAUGGGAUAUGUUCACACACACGCACACACAAUUACAAUAAUUUUAUUUCAAAAUAUUUUUAUCAUGUUUUAUUAAUUCUAUGAAUGCUGUAAAAUUUUUAUUGACGAUUAAUUUAAAUUUAAAGCCUAUUCUUUAAUAAGUAUUGAAA